RNAcentral lists this unclassified non-coding RNA (851 nucleotides) under Hevea brasiliensis (rubber tree). Lineage: Eukaryota; Viridiplantae; Streptophyta; Magnoliopsida; Malpighiales; Euphorbiaceae. The record is from RNAcentral.
UUGUUGUUGCUGCUGCUGCUGCUGAAGCUGCUGUGCAUUAGUAGACUCUGUAACUGAGGGUUUUCCAGCUACACCUUGACCCACAUUGUUGGGAACUUGCGAAAACUGAGAUUUAUCUGUGUGUUGCUGAAAACCAGCACCCCUUUGUUGAAAAAAUUUGUUUGAGGAUCCAUAAUUGUAAGAAUUUAAUUGCUGGAUCUUCUGAAGGACUUCUUCCACAGGUGGUGGAGGUCCAGGCAAUUUUGCAUGCCUAUACCGACAGUCAGGACCAUUUGGACAAAACCCUAACUUGUACAUAUUGCACUCCUUAAUAUCCUCAUUGGUGUGCUUGUACACGCAGUCCUGCUCCCGGCACUCUCCGUAAAGCCUAAAAAAGCGGCAAACAGGCAUUCGCGACUUGUCGUAUUGGUGUAGAAAGCCGCAGGCGUCGCCCUUCAUGCAAAGGCUGCGGAGCCAAUGCCGACAGACGGUCUGCCGGAAGCUCCGCCGCCCAGGAAGGUUGGCGCCAGGUGCCGAUGGAUCCGUAGCAGAUACAGCGGCGACGGCAGAGUUGUUGUUAGCGGCGGCAGCAGACACGGCGGAAUUGUCAGAGGGGAUGGCGGACAUGGAGGCGGUAGGGUUGGUGAGGCCAGAGUCAAGGCCCCCCUCGAAGUCGAAGCUGAGACCACCGUCUGUGUCCUCCAUUGGUAGACAAAAGGGCGUACGUGCCUAGGUUCGGAUUAGGGUUUUCUGUAUGGAGAUCAUUCACAAUGUAAAUUUUGAUAUCGGUAAGAGAAAACUGGAGAAACCUCGCUAGGUCGCUGCCUGGGUUUUGGUUUUGGACAAGCCGACUAAAUUGGGCUUGUUCGAAU